GAGGUAUGGGACUGUAGGUGGAGGUAUAGAGGUAUGGGACUGUAGGUGGAGGUAUAGAGGUAUGGGACUGUAGGUGGAGGUAUAGAGGUAUGGGACUGUAGGUGGAGGUAUAGAGGUAUGGGACUGUAGGUGGAGGUAUAGAGGUAUGGGACUGUAGGUGGAGGUAUGGGACUGUAGGUGGAGGUAUAGAGGUAUGGGAUUGUAGGUGGAGGUAUAGAGGUAUGGGACUGUAGGUGGAGGUAUAGAGGUAUGGGAUUGUAGGUGGAGGUAUAGAGGUAUGGCAUUGUAGGUGGAGGUAUAGAGGUAUGGGACUGUAGGUGGAGGUAUAGAGGUAUGGAAUUGUAGGUGGAGGGAUGUGACUGUAGGUAUAGAGGUAUGGGACUGUAGGUAUAGAGGUAUGGGACUGUAGAUAUAGAG
Molecule: long non-coding RNA, 417 nt
Filed under: Salmo salar (Atlantic salmon)
Lineage: Eukaryota; Metazoa; Chordata; Actinopteri; Salmoniformes; Salmonidae
Description: lncRNA (ENSSSAG00000114772.1)
Source: RNAcentral